This 701-nucleotide long non-coding RNA is filed under the name Helianthus annuus (common sunflower). Lineage: Eukaryota; Viridiplantae; Streptophyta; Magnoliopsida; Asterales; Asteraceae. The record is from RNAcentral.
GAGUUUAAGGUUUUUCAAUCAUGGAAUUUGAAGAUCAUCUGACGUGUUCUUGGUCUGCCGUAGAAUUAAUUAACAGGUUGUAUGCUUCUGAAGCGGAACCAAGUCAUCGAAUGGGCCCCACCUAAGCUGUUGGCAGAUUUUCUAACGCCUUGAAGUUUAUCGUCGAAGAGGUCCCUAAACUCAUAUGAAAAACAAAAUGCAAUCAUCAGCCAAGCCAAGCCAAACUGUCCUCAACCCCCCUGGAGCUAACGGAAACUGAAACAGAUUAUGCAAUGAUGCUCUGACGCACAUAUUCGACAAACUUGUCUCGAAAUACAGUACUGGGGCAGUUACUGACUUACUGUCAUAUAGUUGUUAUAGAUGCUUUUGAAGCGGAAGAAUUUGCUGAGGUGGCAACGAAGCGACUGAAAGCCCUUCCAUAUGCACACCUGGUUGAAGUUUAUGGCAUUUGAGUAUCCCAUAAUGGGUCCCAGCUCAGCUGUUGGCAGAUUUUUUGACGUGUUGAAGUUUAUUGUCAAAGAGGGAAUAACUUCUCAUAUCAUGUUAUAACAAAGUUGUGACAUCCCGCCGGAAAAUCAGUUGAUUGGGCUUCAGAAGACAGCUUGAAGGUAGAUUGGGCUUGAAGAUUGUUGGGCUGCUGGAGUUAAAGAAUGUUGUUGGGCUGAGGUCGGGUUCCAGUCGCAUAUGGGGCUACGGAUGCG